AUUUUUUCUUAUAAAUCAAAAUUUUUUCUCCUUAAAAUUAUAUAUUUUCUGGGGAUACACAUUUCUCCUCCAUACUGCCAAGUGAGCUUUGAAAUUUUGACACAAUUUCCGGCCGGAUAGCCGUUGUGAUUCUGAAUUAGCGCACAGGAGAUGAAAAGAAAAUGACCAGGAAAUAUACAAAGAAUCCAGCAAGAAGAAUUCCACCAUAGAUGAACGUUUGAGAAGACUCCACCGGGAAUCUAUAUUCGAUGUCACAGCAUUUCAUUUUCUCCUUCUCACUCACCAAAACAUAAUCUACAUUCCUGUUAUAUCAUAGACAGAUGAUCAUUACAAGGUUCAUAAAACCCUAAUCAGAAAUUUCAAUUUCAGAAUCACCAAGAAGCUUUUUCCCUGUGCAGGGCAACUUACUGUUGGGUGUAGAUAGUGCAUUGUAAAAUUUAUGAGCUGUUCAGGUGUGCAUCUUGUAACCGAUGAUCGUAUAACAGGGAUGAUAGAUCUACAAGUUCUUCCUCAAGGUUCUGUUAUUCAAUUAUGAAAAGGUCGAUGUGUUAAUGUCGGAAAUAUGUUUGUCUAGAUCAAGAUGGUCAUUGAGAAUAAGAAUUAACUUACAUCCAAGAAUUUCUCUAGUCUUUCAACUAAUUCGUGAGGUAAAGGUUCAGGCAAGUUAGUUUUCUUCUUGUAGAACUUUUCCAACCAUAGCUCAGUGCUCGACUUAUUUUUCUUGCCCUUGACUGGUUCACUAAGUGGGGUUUUCAGAUAUUCAGCAGCAAAAGUUUGUACAUACUACAAAGAGAAUAGAAUCUUGUAAGCAUAUAAAUAAAUGAUCAAAUGGCCAAAUUGAAGACAAACUAAUUUAUAUUUAUGAAAUAAAUAAAUAAAUAAAUAAUCAAGUUACCUCUGAUGUAUCCCGAAUUCUGUGUAGUGCAGAAUCUACACGAGCGUAUAUCGUGUUCCUCUGCCAACAAUACAAAGAAUUCCUUUCAGAUAUUCUUCGUCAACUAGAAUCAACUUAUUGUAAAGCAUUAUCAGAUGUCCAGACCAGAGAGUGACAGACACUCAGAAAACCAUAUUUUUCUCAAUGGCUUAAUGUAAAUAAAUCCCUUCUUUAGCUUUUAAGUUGUGACUUUUGCUACCUUAAUGAAGCUAACCUUGAUUAUCAUUUUUAAUAUUUUUAUGCAGAAUUAAGAAAAGAACAUCAUUGGAAUUACCAAGGCAACAUCCUGGAGCAUUUGACUCAUCUGGGAAGUAUUGGAGAAUGGUCCAAAUGGAUGACAACCAGCUGACCAGAGCCAAUUCACGAUCGAUCUUUCAUGUACAUGAGAAGCCUUUUCAUAUGGUGCACUCAAUCUGACACUAUCUUAUAAGGCCUAAGAAACUAUUAAGCCACAUGCACACAUUAGCAUAGUGAAGCUGAGACCAACGUGUGAGGCCUAAUAAAAUGACUGUAUUGCAAGAGAAAUGAAAGCUUCAGUUGCUUGUAAAACAGGGUGACAUGAAUUCCUAAAGGGUCACAUUAGAACUCAAUAUGUUAGUCCUAUUCAUUAUACUGGCAGAGAGCAGUCCUUUUACUUCUAGAUAAAUACAAUCCUGGAUAAUAGCCCAGAAUGUCUCUAACAAAGAGAUAUGCAUCAAAGAUGGCUAUAAGCUCAGCAUGAAUUAUGAUCAAGAGGUAGAGCAGCUAAGCAACAAAAAAAUCAUGAUAAGCAUAACUAAAUAAAGGAUGUUGAGAUGGACAAAUGAUAAAUCAAGAAAGGCUAGAAUUAGAAAUUAUUGCAUUCACCAAGAAACUAUGUGUAAUAUCUUCAGAUAAGGCUUUAUUAAGAUUUAUUAAAAAAAAAAAAAUCAGAUUCAUUAAGUGCUAAUUUUGAUAAACUUCCUGUUUUCUAAUUUUAAAAAUAAAAAAUAAUAGUAAGUUUAAUAUAAAAUAUAGUAACUCUUAUAUAAAAAGUAUCGACUUACCUUAUGUCCAACAAGACUUUCAUCUUCCAUCAUAAGGUGUAUGAGCUUUUUUCACUAUACCUUCCAAGACCCAGCCAAACUUGAGAUGCCCCUCCUCCAUUAUAUCGAUAACGAUAAAUGUAUUCCCCCUCCUGUCUUUUCAUCUCUUCCUCAGUUCGCUGGGUAAUUUUUCCAUACAUUAAACUGUCGAGAUCAAUCUCCUUGUUCCUAGGAUCCAUUCUCACCUGCAAUAAAGUAGAACCACCCAAAUUUGAAUAUUAAAAAAAGGAAGGAAGGAAGUUUAUUAGACAGUGUAGAUGAUCAAAUCACAUGGUUUCAAGAAACAUUUUCUGUGAAGAAACUGCAGUAAUCCCAUCCUAGAUGAAAUAUUUGAGAAUUAUUCUAAUUAGCAAUGUUCAUAGAAGAUAACCACAGUAGUGAAUUGCAAAGAACGGCAGAAUAUACCUUAUCGAAAUUGACAAUAAAAAUUGCACUUGGCACAGGUCUAUCCAUCUCUGCUGCAUUGUAUCCACUAUUAUCCAUGUCAAAUAUGUAGGAAUAUAGUUUCUGAAAUACAGACUCCACAGCUGUUGCAUCCACCUCAAACAACGGCACCUCCCUUCCAUAAUCAGACUAAAAGUUGUAACUAGAUUUUAGAACUUCAUUUGAAGCCAAAUGAUAUCUGAAACUUUUUCAGCAAUAAUCAAGACAGCAGUAAUAAUUGAAAGAAACAAUGACAGUAACCUCUCUAGCAGUUCCAGCAGGAACCAUGGCCUCUUUCAGUGCCUUCUCCAGUGCUAUCAGCUCUGGUUGCCCAGCCUGUAGUGUAGACAAAUACAUUAUGUAAUGGUUAAAAGGAGUAGCACUUGCACCGACUCAAAAGAUAAAGUUGCACUCCAUUCUUUGGCUUCAUUGCCAUGAGACCAAUCACAAAUAUUAACCCGAUAUCAUGCAAAAUUUGAAGGGGGGAAAAUCUACACUAAGUUUUAAUGGAAUCAAGCAGCUUUAGGAUCACAAAAUAAUUUGGUGAGAAGAUAACUGGAACAUGUUGAAAGUUGCAUAUUGAUGUGAUCAGGUCUAGGUUUCACAUUUCAUAAAAUAAAUCUCUUGUAUCUUUACUAGGUUCUGUUUCUAUGAAUUAAAUUUGAAUAAAGCUAGAAAUGCACACUACGAACAUCCAAAUAGCAGCAGUAAAAACAUAAGCUUGCCAUGAUCUUAGGACUCACUCUAGAAGCCAAGCAUAUUAAAGAAUGUUAUGCGCUGACCAUAUACUCCCAAGAAAUCACCAAGAUUGUAAGUAAAAGUUGGAAGGGGGUUAACUGCAUGAGUAUGGAUGGCUAUUUUGUUCAUGUUUGUCCAUUCAGGUAAGGCUCCAACAUGCCAAAGUUACAUACAGACCAUGAGUAAAUGCAUGAUACCUAGAUAACCCAAGUCAGAAAAAGGUAAUUUUUUUUGUUCUUUUUAAUAUAAUAUCAAGACAUUUCAUUUAGAAAAUGUAAUAACAGAGGAAGAUUUCUUGUAAGUCAUCCAGAACCAUAGAAGAGUCAGAUCACGCAAAUUGAAAUAUGGCUGGAAACCAAACUCACACCACAUUGGUUAUUUCUAGCAAAAACAUAGAAAAAACCUCAAUACCUUUCAUAUGCUUGAUCCGAUUAUGAUUCUGCACUUAAAAAUUACAUAGAUGCUGUCCCUUCCAAAAAUUGGAUUUCCAUUCCUUGUUUCAAUUGUUUUUCAUAUAACUCACCUAGCAACACACGCCUAUGCUUCAUUAGGAUCUAUUUAAGUUUUUUGCCCUUGAGGCCUGGCUCAAGUGGUAAAGGGAUGGGGAGAGUUUGUGGGAGGUUCCAGGUUCAAGUCCCAAUGGGGAUAAAAUUUACCUAUAAAAAAAAAGGAUCUAUUUAAAUUUUUUCACUGCCAACCAUUAAAGUUAACAGCAAAAUUUUGACUCUAUUUGAUCCAUGUUGAUAAGAGAUUUCCACUGUUUUUUUUUUUUUUUUUCCCUCUCAUUUUACUUUCCUUUUAAAAUGGAAGUAGUCAUGCCUACAAAAGAUGACAUUAUAGAGCUCCAGCAAGAUAUGAUAUUGAACUGUAAGGGCACCAAGUAAAUAUUAAACAAGGAUGACUAGCACUAAGCUGUUGAAUAUGGUUAUAGACAAAUUAUAAGGCAUCUAACACACUAGAAUCAUUAUUCUUUUGACAAGUAAGCAAAGAGAAUAAAUUUAUAAUUAAAAACCAUACACCCAUGUACACAGGUCGUAUACAAAGGACAUCAAAAGGCAUAGCCUGGAUGAGGGAAAACACAAAAAACUACUCCCCCCCCCAUCUAGAUGCCACCCCCCAAUCUACAAAAUUGAUUAAAGGGAUUAUGAUAAUAGACUAGAACUGAUUAAAGGCAUCAUAUUCCUCCCAAUUUUUUUUAUAAUACACUAGAAUCAUUAUGAUCACAUAGAAAAUCCAAAGCAACAAGUUGAAACAUCCAACUGCACCAACCAUGUUAGGUGAUAUUAGUGAGAAUAACAGUUUACUGAAACUUACAGGAAACACAUUGUAGACGAUGUGAUGCUCAAUAUCAAGGAGCUCACCUGUCUCCAAGCAUGAGGGUCUGUGAGAUGGGAAGCUGAUUCUUAGGAACUCUUCCAAUUUGUGUGCAUCAACCAUAUACCUAUAGCCUCCAUCAUUAUUGAAACCAAUGAGGACUAUGUUUACUUUGACUGGGACCUGGAAUGGAACCUGUAUGACACUUAUAUACAUGAUUAGACAUUUAAACCAGACACCCUCGUUAAAAUAAUAGCAAUAUCAACAAUGAUUCAUUACCUAAUUAAAAUUCCAACACUGAAUGUAACAAUAUUUUGAAGAAAAGGGAAAAAAAAAGCCGAGACUUCUAUUGAACGUAGAAGAAACAUUCCAUGAUUUUGUUGAUAGAUGGAGGCAUCAUGGGUAUUGGCUAUCAAGGUACGUUUGACUUGAAGACUCAUUCAAAAAAAGUUAAGGAAAUGACCGAUCUUCAGAAAACUAAGAUGGUUCUAGUUAGCCCCUGGUGUAAUAUCACUUUCUAGAUGCACAAAUUGAAUAUUCCUUGAUUCAGCCAAUGUCUCUAUUCAUCUUAAUUUCAAUUUUGAGACAAUAAAGAGUCAACAUUCCAUAGAGGUGAAAACUAUGCAGCUCAUCAACCGCAAAAUUAACAAGUAGUUUCCCAUGGGCUCAGGCACAAAAUGACCCAAAGCCUAUGAAUGUACUAAAGAAGGUCCCGUUUCAGCAUGUAGCGAGGAACCAAAAUGAGCAUACCUUCAUCAUUUACUUACUGAGAUAACAAACUUGAACAAAAUGAAAAGCAUAAAACAAAGAACCAUUCAAGCGGAGAGAAUAUUAUAUACUGCUCUGUUGCAAUAAUAAACUGUGCGAUGGAGGAGAGCGAGAGAGAGAGGGCCAGAGAGAGAGAGCAAGUGCGAUGGAGGAGAGCAAGUGAAUCUGUGUGCGAGCGAGGGUGUAGUUAGCAAUGUCCACUCGGAGUCUCGGAUAAGCUUAAGGAAGAGCAGCUUCGGAGUGGAGUCGAAGACCUUCGAGAUCGAGGUAGAAAAGAAGAAGGGCAAAGUGCAAGUCACUAUUGUGGAGAGGAAAAGAGGGGUUUCUUCGUGGAUUAAGCUAGGACCAAAGAGCCUAAGGAUCUUUGUGGAAUGUCUGGUUCUCUGCAUUAAGGACACGCGAACUGAAAAAUGGGAAAUAAAUUGGAAGGAAAGAGGGAGGUUUUAUUCGCUGGUGCGCGAUGAAAACAAGGGGGGAUGCUUCCUCUGUCUGGGCGUUGUGGAUUAGGAAAAGAAAAGGUUUAGCAUCUUUAUCCCUAAAGGAAGAGGUGUAAAAGGGGGUUGAGCUUCAAUGGCGGAGACACUUCGGUGUUACUGAAAGGAAGGAGAGUCAAAAGGACGAUGCGAUGUCGUCAAAGCCCAUUUUGGGGAAAACCUUUGCGGAGGUGGUUAAGCUGCCAAGGAGUAAAGACAAACCCGUGGAAGUCAGCAAAAAAGACCUAAGCCGAAAUUUAAACAGGUUGGCUCAAUGUCUGGUUGGAUCUUGGGACCCCAAAUCAGUGAGGGGGGAUGAUUUGAGAAGUUGGGGGACCCAAAUGGCAAAAAUUUGGGGGUUGAAGGGUAACUUAGGUUUGGCUAAGUUGGAAAGGGGUAAGGUGUUGCUGGAAUUUGAGUUGUUGAUUGAAGCUGAGAAAGCUCUAAAACUUGGAAGAAUUUUGGUUGGGGGGUUCUUUCUGCGACUGGAAAAAUGGAGUCCUGAGACAGGGUGUCUGAUGGAAGGAGAGAAAAGGAGGGAGGCAUGGGUGAGAAUCAUGGGCUUACCAGUCUCUCUAUGGGAUCGGGCCAUCCUCAGAAGGGUAGGGGAGGAGUGUGGGGGUUUCUUAGCUAUCGAUUCUCAAACGGAGAAACUGGAGGAGUUGCAGUGGGCCAGGAUUCUGGUGAAGCUAAACGGCGAGGAGAUGCCUAACAUGAUGGAAAUUUGGGUCGAAGGGGUGUGCUAUUCGUUAACCCUAUGGUGGGAGGUUAGGCAGGUAAUGAGAUUAGUGCCGACAGAAAAAAGUGGGAAGAAAAGUGGAGCAGAAAGAGAGGUUGAGGGUGAGGGUGAGGUCUUUGCACGUGUGGGCAAGCGCGUGUUGGAGGAGGAUGACGACACAAGACUCGAGACCCAGUUGCAGUCUGCUAAUGGGACGCAGGGGCAGACGAGUGGGUCGGGGCGCCCUUUGGUUCGAUAUCGGGGCCUUGAUGGGUCGUCGGUUGGGCCCCAUGGAGGCUUUCAGCUUUUGGGUGGGCCCCUUAAGCAAGGCCUUUCUAAGAACCCAAGGUGCUCUAAUCUGGGCUCUGGGCCCGUUGGGAUAGAUCCAAUCUUAUCCUCUUCUUUUGAGGUUGGGUCGACUUCUUUUGGGCCAACAUCUUUGGAGGGCCCUAAAAGGGUCAAGGCUUUGGAGGCCUUCGUGGCGUUUAGGCCGGCUAGGUUGGACGUUUGCCGAGGCCCAUCCCAUUCCUUGGAGGGGAACAGAGCCCACAUUGGUGUGGCCCUUCCCGAGGUGUGGUCUGGCCCAAGUCUUUUAAGGGGUCCAAACGCUAAAAUCUCACAUUUCUAGGUGAAGGACGGCAUGCGGAAGCAAAUUGAGGAAGAGCUUCAAUCUAAGGAGAGAUCGAAGACUGAUCUUGCCCUAAUUGAGGAAGCGUCGAGGUAUGGGAGUGAUCCUAACCCUUGUGGAUUGUUGGCUUCUGAGUUUUCCUCUUCUCCUUCUUUUUUUUCCAAUUGGACUCCAUUGGGGGAGUAUUAUGACUAUUAUGGGGACGGUAGGGAGACAUUCCAGGGGGAAACCCCGUUACGCAUGCUCAUUGCUCCAAGGCCUAUAGAAGAUGAGACUGCCAAUCGUUGGGAACUGAUGGAGGCUAACAAUGGCAACAAUGAAGACUGUGGAAAGGAAUUGUGCUUAGUUCAAACUUUGCCAAGAGAAGUAAAGGGUUGGGAGGAGGUUAGUUGGAAGGAAAGUGAUCUGGCCAGGUUCAGUAAGUUCUUGGGGUUUCUGACAGAAGGAUUGGAGAAAGACAUUUUGGAUUUUUUGGUUAAAAUCCAGAAGAGAAGGGAAAGAGUCCACAUCAAAACUCUUCUGGAGAAAUCUAAGUUCGAAAGGGAAUUGAAAAGAUUAGAGUGCUCCAUUAACUAUGGGGGGGGGGGAACAGAAAGGUGGAUUGCAAGGAAGAGGUGUCAGGUCAUGGAAGUUAAAUGAAGCUAAGACUUUUGAGUUGGAAUGUACAUGGAGCUAACAACAGUUCCAAAAGAAAGGUGAUUAAGGUCGUGAUUAGAAGUCAGAGGGUGGAUUUGUUCUAUCUCCAAGAGACCAAAAUUCAGGCAAUGUCAAAGGGGUUGGUGAGAAGCUUGGGCACUAGUAGGUUUCUUGACUGGGGUACCCUGGAUGCCCAUGGCUCAGUGGGAGGUUUAUUGAUUUGUUGGGAUAAAAGGACCCUGGAGGUGCUUGAGAUGGAGAUAGGAAACUUCUCAAUUUCCUAUAGGCUCAGGAAUGUGGAAGAUGGAUUAGUUUGGGUUUUUACUGGUGUGUACGAGCCGUUCUCUAAAGAGGAUAGGGAUUGUAUGUGGGAGGAACUAGGGGCGAUCAGAGGCAUUUGGGAUGAUCCUUGGUGUUUAGGGGGUGACUUCAAUGUCAUUCUCUCCCAGAGGGAAAGGAGUAGUCAGCGAAGACUAACUGGUGCAAUGAGAAGGUUCACCCAGAUCGUUGACGAGUUAGAGCUUCUUGAUCUUCCUUUGCAAGGGGGCGCACUUACCUGGAGUGGGGGUAGGAAUAAUUAGGUUUAGGCUAGACUGGAUAGGAUCCUAGUGACCCAGAACUGGAUUGAUCAUUUUAGUGGGGUCGUCCAAAGCAGGUUGCCCAGACCUACCUCAGAUCACUUUCCCAUCUUGCUGAUGGGUGGUGGGUUAAGGAAGGGCCCUUCCCCGUUUAGAUUUGAAAAUAUGUGGCUUAAAGUUGAUGGUUUUAAGGACCUUCUUCGGGGAUGGUGGCAGGGGUCUGAGGUGAGAGGGAGGGCUAGUUUCAGACUAGCCACUAAAAUGAAGGAGUUGAAGCAAAAAAUCAAAGUUUGGAAUAGGGAGGUGUUUGGUAGGCUGGAAGUUAAUAAAAACUCAACUCUCCAACAAGUUGAGUACUGGGGUGGGGUGGAAAGUGAGAGGAGCCUUUCUAAAGGAGAAACAGAGUUGAAAAAAGAAGCCAAGGAAUCCUUUAAAAAGUGGGUUUUAAUGGAUGAAAUCCAUUGGAGACAAUUGUCAAGGGAGUUGUGGCUAAAGGAAGGGGAUAGGAACACGGGCUUCUUUCACCGGAUGGCAAAUGCCCGCCGAAAAAAUAAUUCCCUGGAUAUAGUUAAGAUUAAUGGGGUGUGGAUGACUGAGGAGCAAGAGGUGAGGGAGGGGAUUGUGAAUGCUUUCCAGCAUUUGCUCUCAGAAGAGCCAGGUUCGAGAGCUAAUAUUGAGGGGUUGCACCUCAAUCGCCUUAACUCCAGUGAAGCUAAAGUGUUGGAGUUGCCUUUCAUUGAGGAGGAAAUUCACUCUGCCUUAAUGGAAAUGAAUGGUGAUAAAGCUCCAAACCCAGAUGGGUUCACAGUGGUCUUUUGGCAAGCUGGUUGGGAUUUUGUGAAAGAGGAGAUUAUGGAUUUGUUUAAGGAGUUUUAUGAUCAAAGAUCUUUUACCAAAAGCCUUAAUACCACCUUCUUGGUCCUCAUCCCUAAGAAAGGUGGUGCUGAAGACCUGGGGGAUUUCCGGCCAAUCAGCCUAUUAGGGGGUUUGUACAAGCUUUUGGCUAAGGUGCUGGCGAAUACGCUGAAGAAGGUUUUAGAAAAUGUGGUUUCUGUAGAUCAAAAUGCCUUCGUGAGGGGCAAAUAGAUUUUGGAUGCUUCGCUUGUAGCUAAUGAGGUGAUUGACUUCUGGCAUAAACGAAAAGAGAAAUAGCUGAUUUGCAAAUUGGACAUCGAAAAAGGCUAUGACAGCAUCAACUGGAAUUUUCUAAUGAAGGUUUUGCUUAAAAUGGGCUUUGGGUCUCGGUGGACGGAGUGGAUUUGGUGGUGCAUCUCAACUGCCAAAUUUUCUGUAAUGGUCAAUGGGGUGCCUGCAGGCUUCUUCUCGAACUCCAAGGGGUUGCGGCAAGGAGAUCCUCUUUCUCCUUAUCUCUUCGUCUUGGGUAUGGAAGUGUUAAGUACUCUAAUAAGAAGGGUUGUUGAUGGGGCCUUCUUGUCUGGCUGCAGACUUCGGGGGAGAGGGGGAGUGGAGAUGAGUGUCUCCCAUCUUCUUUUUGUUGGUGAUACAAUCAUUUUCUGCAAAGCUAGGAAAGAACAACUAAUCGCUUUAAGCUGGAUUUUGGCUUGGUUUGAGGCGUCUUCCUAUCUAAGAAUUAACUUAGCUAAGAGCGUUUUAAUCCCGGUUGGUGAGGUUGAAGAGAUUGAGGAAUUGGCAGUGGAGCUAGGGUGUAGAGUGGGGUCUCUGCCCACUGUUUACUUGAGGCUGCCCCUUGGAGUCCAUCACAAAGCUAUUUUUAUGUGGAAUGGGGUGGAAGAGAGAAUGAGGAGAAGAUUAGCCCAGUGGAAAAGGCAAUAUAUAUCUAAGGACGGGCGUAUCACCCUCAUUAAGAGCACACUGGCCAGCAUGCCUAUUUACCUUAUGUCCCUCUUUCGAAUGCCCAAGAUUGUUGCAAAAAGGCUUGAAAAAUUACAAAGAGACUUUCUUUGGGGAGGGGGAAGCUUUGAGAGGAAAGUCCACUUAAUUAAUUGGGAGGUGGUGUGCACUCAAAAGGAGAAGGGUGGUUUAGGCAUUCGGAAGAUUGAUCCCUUGAACAAAGCCUUGCUGGAUAAAUGGAUCUGGAGAUUUGCCUAUGAAAAGGACAAUCUUUGGAAGAGGGUGAUCGGGGUGAAAUAUGGUCAAGAAGUAUUUGGGUGGAGGACUAAGGAAGCUAGCGAGACGUUUGGAGUGGGGGGAAGCUAGCGAGACGUUUGGAGUGGGGGUGUGGAAGGAGAUUAUGGCGGAGGCAAAUUGGUGUUGGCAUAGCAUAAAGUUUAAGGUGGGGAAGGGGACUAGAGUUAAAUUAUGGACUGAUCAGUGAUGUAGUAAUGUGGCGCUGUCCCAAAAUUUCCCCCAGUUAUUUGCCUUGGCGGUUCAUAAGAAUGCAACUGUCAAUGAAGUGUGAGAUUCAAGCCUUGGUCAAGGAGGUUGGAAUCUCAGAUUUUCAAGAGACUUUAAUGAUUGAGAGCUAGACUUGAUAAGAGACUUGCUUAAUAUGCUAAGGGACUUCAGGACAUCUUCAGAGGAGGACUCAGUGUUAUGGAAAGGAGGGGGUCAUGGUUGUUUCAGGGUUAAGGAUGCUUAUAAUCUGUUGGUUGUCCCCAAUGACUGCGCCUUCCCGAUUAAUUGCAUUUGGGUGGAUAAGGUUCCAACCAAAGUCGCUUUUUUUGCUUGGAAAGCCACAUGAGGGAAGAUUCUCACUUUAGAUAGGCUUCAAAAACGGGGGUGGCAGCUCCCUAAUCGCUGUUUUUUGUGUGGUUGUGAUGAGGAAAAUAUAAAUCAUAUUCUUUUACACUGUAUAGUGGUUAGGGUACUAUGGGAGAUCGUCCUUGGCCUCUUUAGGGUUCAGUGGGUGUUCCCAGAGUCGGUUAAAGAGGUGUUAUUUAGUUGGAGGGGCUCUUUUGUGGGGAAAAAAAGGAAAAAGAUCAGGAAUUCCAUCCCGUUGUGUAUUUUUUGGACGGUAUGGAAGGAAAUGAAUAGAUUAGCUUUUAAGAGGGGUUCUUUAACUAUACAGAAACUCAAAAAUUCUUUUGUUUGUAAUUUGUGGAGUUGGGCUAGGGUGUACAUUAGAGAGGAGUCUUCUUCGCUCUUAGGCUUUUUGGAGUGGCUAGCGGCCACUUAAGGGUUGGUGAGGUUGUUCUUUUUUGUGUUUUUGUUUUGGGCUGCUAUGUAUACUCCCUGUAUGCUUUGUGACUUUUUGCCCCUUAAUAUAUUUGUGCUUAUCCAUCAAAAAAUAAAAAAGUACCAUUCAAGCCUUGGAAAAGUUAAAACUUCAUUCUUCAAUUUACUGGAAGUAAUUUGGGGGAAGAUGCAGGGGGGGAAAGGGGCCGCAGAAUUUUACACUUUCAUGGGAGUGCAAAAAUUUCUAAGUAAAAUCUGUCACAGCACACUUCCCUUCACCUUCUAUGCUCUUAUCCAAAGCAAGGGCAGCCUACAACAAACUACCAAAAACAAGGUUCAUAAUGUUUGGUGGAAAAUAUACACAGGUGGGGUAACUCUUUUCCCAAUCAAAUUGGUUGUCAAUUUAGCAUCUUAAGAAAAGCUAGUACAGCAGAACCAUUUUCAGGAAUUAUGCUAUCUUCAAUCUACCACUGACUUUGCAUAAGUUGUUUAAAUUCUCAGGAUAAAUUGCCCAGGAUGAGAAUAAAAAAAUUAUUCAUUAGCUGGCAUAGUGCAGCCUAUGUGUCUAAAUCAACUUUAACUUUCCAGGGAUCGGUUAGUCAUGGAUUGGGAAUCAUCUGUUCUUUGAUUAGAUGCAACCUAAUAGUACCUCUGUGCUGCCAUCCAUUAGGACUCUCCAUAGGACUGAAAAUCCAGAUUGAAGUAUGAUUCUAACUGUAGAAAUGUGCCAAGUUGUAGAAUUUUGGAGGAAAUGGGCCACUAUACUAAAAUAGAAUUCUGAAGUAAACCUAAAUAGCUCUUAUUUCAUAUCGAACACCACAGAGAAGCACUGGAAUAUCAAUGUUAACAAAAUGAAAUAACCACAUUUACAAGGGACCAACUAGCACAACUGACAUGCUGUUGGCUACUUGGUGGCAUGGUGUGGUUCCAGGAAAUUCCUUUAAAAGGAAUAAGAAAAAUGAACUUCCGAACCUUAGAAUUCUCAAUAUUUGGGGCGAGCAAACUAAACCUCCACGCUGCUAUGAUCAACACAAGCAGCUUAAUUAAUUAGCUUUCCGUACAAUGGAAAACUUAAAAAUAUGGAAUAUAUACAUCCAAAAUUUUACUUUCCUCCAUUUUCUCAGCAACCAAACGGAGGAGGAAGGUUCGAACAUACAAAUUAACGGAAGGAAUGAGUAAAUUGUCAUAGCAAACAUAAAAAAUAGAUUGACACGAAAUCAAAACACGAUCACACAGUGUGAAAGGAAUAUGCACCAAUCAGAUUAAGUGAAUCUGAAGCAUCAAAAAUCGAAGAUUCAUAAUCUUUUAACAUUCCUUCAUUUUCUUGCAGUUUCCGAGCAACCAAAGGGGAGACGAAUACCUCGGCACGCGAAUGGAGCAUGCGGCGAACAUCGGAUCGGACACUAUCUCUGACCUCGUGAAAAGCCCCAUGGUGCCACUGAGGAUGCCCCGGGUCUCACCGGAAGGCCUCCGGAGCCGCGGACGCCGACUGAAUGGCGACCACAGUCAGCGUCAGUAUUAAGACAGGCACCGCGCUUAAAACUGACUUCAUGGCUGUCAGAUGUUGAAAAUCGGGCUCCGGCUACUUCUGAUCGUCGCUCCCGUGCCCCAUAGACAAAAGCCGUUCUUCUAGGUUCAUUUCUUUCUCUAGUAGUCCACAGAGCCGCAUUUCCAAAAAUGCACCUUUGUUUAUUAAUAAUUACGAUUCUGCCUCUGGUCACUGGCACUGUCGUUCUAUCAGUAUCAGAUCACUUCAGAGUUCAGACCAAUAAUCCCUUGGUUAAUUCUAGGUGCUGUUUGGAUUUACCUUCCAAGUCCACUAAUGGACGUUUAUUAAUAAUUUUAUUAAACAAAAACGGUGAAUUUUUCUUGCAUAUAACUACUUGUAUUUUUAUUACUUUUUUUUUCAAUAUCAACUUGUACAAUAAUCGAAUGCAAAUAAUAAUAAUGUUCUUACAUUCUCCUUUUAUGAAAACAAAAAAUUGACUUAAAAAAUUAAAAUUAUUUCAUAUUUAAUUAAAUUUCAUUAAUAAUAGUAAGGGAGAAUUACCCUUAAGGGUAGGCUGGGGGAAAAAAUGAUUGAAAAGGGUGAGUAAAUUUGAUAAUUCUUUUAUAUUUUUAUUAGUCAUUUUUUCCCUCGGUCUACCCUUAAGGGUAAUUCUCCCUAAUAAUAAAGCUACGCAAACAAGACCUAAUGAGUUAGAGAGACUUCAAAGCCAAUAAUGAUAAUUAUUGUAACAAGAGUUCACACCAUACGACCCAGCUUGUAGAUAAGGAGGGAAGGUAAGAAAUAAGACUAUUGCCACUCAGCAAUUAAUCUUGAUUCUCUGCCCUAUGGCAAGUAGGAAAAUAUAAAUUUGGAACCAAUAAAUUAUUUUUAAACUUACUUUUCUUUUUCUAUAUAAAAUUUAAAUAACUUGAAAAUAAAUAAAUAAAUAAUUUAAUUAUUUUAUCAUACUAAUAAAAAAUGGAUCCAGACAUAGCAUUAACAUUACCAUUCCCCCGUUUUACAAGAUUAAAAAAAAAAAAAUUCAUUCUCAUUGGGAGAAAAAAAAAGGAAUAUAUUUCAUCACAAAUAUAACCUGGAGUCUGCCCCAGUUGGUAGUAAAGCAAAGGUGACGAGAGGGGAAGGCAAGAACUCUUGAGUGGCUUCUAGCCAUAAGUUAGUCCAGGCCAAGUCAACUAAAUGAUAAGCCCACACUCUUAAAUCCUCUAGUUACCAUGCAACACAUACAUCCACCUGAAAACACUAUUUAACCAAAUGAUAUUAGUCGAUGUUGAGCUCCGCACCCACACAUAUCUAGAGAGAGAGAGAGAGAGAGAGAGAGUGAGACUGAAGGGAAGGAGAGUGGAAGCCAAAAAAGAAAAAAAUACAACAUGCAUACAAGUAGAUUAUAUGAGGGUAUUACAAGGGAGCUUAGAUCUUCUAACAACAUUUUACAAAUUUCAAGCCUCUUCAAAUAAAUGGGGGACCUCUCUAUUAGUAUCCGAGUAGCUCAACUGCUUGCUUUGACGAUUGUUGUUGCUCUCUCUAACCGUAUGCAUCAUGAGGAAUAUUAGGGCAAUUGCCGAAAUCAGGGGAAGGAGAAAUGGGCUUUUUUAGUUCCAUAAAUCAUCAGUGUUCCAGUGCACUACGAACUGAAAGUGGAGGGUCUUGCACCAUGCCUCUGGAUAUUAGGUCGUGGUUUAAGAACAUAACAAUAACAGUUAUGUCGUCAUGAAAAUGUCGUCUGACCUUCUUGUCAAUCCUUCGCAGAUCUGAGUACCGCAUUUCUCGUUUUCUUGCGGCUUCUUGGAGGGCUGCCUUUACAAGUCGUUUGGCACUUCCCUGCAAUGAUGGAAACUUGUGAGCUUGACAUAUGCAGAUUUACCAAAACCAAUUUAUAUGAAGAGAUACACAUUAUACACAUGUGCAUGAGUUUAAUGUCUACUUUAUCAAAUAACUGCAGUUCAACAUUUUUUUUUUUUUUUUGAUAAAUAUAACUGCAGUCCAACAUAUAAGGAUGUAAUAUCCACAAACAUCAUCUGGAAAAAGUACAAAAUGUUCUCGUUAAGAUCUGUUGCCUACAAACUAUCUGCAGCUAGCUUAUAAGAGAUUCUACUUUAAUUUAUGCUUAAUAUUAGGCAGUGUAUUAAUAUUGAGACAAAGGCCCUCCAAGAUUGCCUACAUCAGAAAUUUUCAUAAUAUUCCCCAAGAAGAUCUGUUAGCUGUGAAUUAUUAGCAACGAAAAGACCCGUUUCAUUUAUCCCAGAGGGAAGGGAGGAAGAAAGGGUCUUCAGAACAUUGAGACACUAGCAAGCAAAGAUUUUAUCUGUCACAGGUAUCACUUAGCUUGGAGGUCCAACGCUAAAAUUUGUGUUUAACAGAAUGGUAGAGGGCAGCAUAUUUUUUGCUACGGUAUCCUUGUUCAAACGUCCAUGCAUUUCCCUCGGGACAAGUGAACAAAAGAAUUUUAGCAAAUGCUUAGUUUCACAGCUUAUUCUGUCUCCAUAUCCCUAUCAAUUAAUGUCAGUGAUCAAAACAAGUUUGCUUUAGUACGAUUUCGAAUAUUUUAUGAGUUCAUAUUUGCUAGCAAGUUCAAAAGGAUUUACAAAGCAUUGCCAAGCAAGUAGUUCAGCAAAUUUGCGUGGAGCCCGUAAUGAUGGUCAUCUCACAUAUCUAGCACCAGAUAUUGGUAUGUUACAAAAAUAACACAGAUAGAAGGGUUUAGAGAUUAAUAUUUGGUAACUCGUUUAUGCGUCUGCCUUUUCUAUUUUUAUUAAUUAACUUAAUUUUUUUAGUUUCUUUAUUUUUGAAAAUUAAUAAAAUUGUUAAAGAAUCCAACAAAUAAACUCUUACUUAAUUUGGAGUCUAUUUAUAUAAUAAAAAAUUUUGAAAUAUUAUAAUUAUGCAUAGGAUGGAAGAGAAAUAGGCAUAGUUAUUUUAGACCAAUUUUGACUCGAGAAAUUCUAGUAUUUAAUUAAUGAAUUUAAUUUAUUAAGUUUUAUUUGAUUUUAAAUUCUUUUAUCUAAUAAGAAAUUUUAAGACAAUAUGAAAAAAUUAAUUAAAAAUUCAAUAUAAGCAUAUGCAUUACAAGAAAAUAGACAUACUUAUCGUUUUUUUAAAUAAAAAAUAAUAAUUUAUAGGUUUAUUAAAAUAAAUAUUAUCAAGCUUAUUUAUAUUGGUAUCAUCCAUUUAUUUUAAAAUGUUGUUGUUCAUUUUGAAUGAAAAUUAUAAUUCUAACAAAUUGAGAAAAAAAAAUAAAAGAUAGUAAUAAAAAAACCAAGUAGAUUGGUGAGUUGGUAAAUAAUAGAGAGAAUAUGGGUUUUAAUGGGAUGAUGAGAUUAUAAAAUAAAUAAGUAAAUAAAGUUUUUUUUGGUAUAAAGGAAAUUAUUUUUUCACUUGCUUUUUUAACAAAAGAAAAUGUAAAAAAAAACCUUUCCUUUUCUUAAAAUUUUUUUAACGGUAUUAUUUGUUAAUUAUUUUUAAAAAGGAACAAUUUUCUCACAAUAAAAAUAAAUCAGAUAAUUACCAAAUUUCAAUGAAAAAAAAAAUUGAACUGAAGAGAGGCGAAUAUUUGAAUACACGUGCUUAGAAAAAAAUAGCAUAAACAAAAUUUUCUAAAAAAUAAUUUAAAUUUUAUACCUUCUUAAAUGAUAAUAUCUUUAAAAAUAAAGUGUAAAAACCCCUAAUUAGUUUAUAACAAAUGAUAAAAAUAAAAAAUAUUUAAAAAUAAUUUAAAUUUUAUGCAUUGUAAAAUUAGAUGGUACUUCAAUAGUUAAAUCUAAUAUCUUUAAAGAUAAUUUGUAGAAAAUUUUAAUUAAUUUUAAAUAAAUAAAUUAAAUUUAAAAUUUACAAGCAUCCGUUGUUAUUUUAUGAUUUUUUUAUUUAUUAAAUAUGGGUAAAAAAACGCAGUUUUCCCUUGAGAUAACCCUUGAAUUUAUCUCAAGUCCAAAAAUGUAAUUUUCUUUUUUCUUUUUUCUUUUUUGGGAAAAAUAAUCCUGCGUAGCGCCCAAAUACUGAAAGAACGGUGAAGGAGGAGGGAGGAAUAGUAGGAAUGGGAUCUCUACUGUUUUUUUAUAUAAAGUGAAGCAAAGGCAUUUGGCUCUUCAGUAUAAUGCUUUCUUGGUCUUUCGACAAAAGAGGAUACAAACCUCGAGUUUGUGCGCGAAUCCAACCCCUCAAUCUUCUUUCAAAGGGGUGUUAGAUUCACGCACAAACUCGGGAUCUGUCUCUUCUGUAGCAUCCGCUUUAUUACCGGCGCCAGUUUAUUGAUCUCCUCUUUUUUUUUUUUCAGGUUUGAGACUUGAGAGUUUACCAUUAUGUGGCUUGUUGUUGCAGAUCCCACCGUUAUGACGUACGGUGGCAGAGUUCGAGUUCUUCGCUUCGGACUGCGAUGGUAGAGAAAUUCGUUAUUUCAAUUAUUUGAGACGACCGUUUUUACGAGAAUUUCUCUUUGUCAAUAUUUUGAUAUUUUUCAAUCUUAAAAUAAAUAAAUAAAUGUUAGAUUUAUAAAUUAAGGAUGAUUUCCAAUUUUUUAUCAAAACCGAUUGAUUUUGUUUUAUAUUCAAACCUAACAUAAAAAGGAUAGGAUGUACAAAUUUUGACCAUUUCAUCUUUUUCAAUUUAUUUAAGAGUGGUAUUUGCUUUUUUAUUUAAUUUUAAAUAAUUUUUUUUAUAUUUAAUAGUAUUAAAAAUUAUAUUAUUUAUUUUUUAAAUAUUUUAUUUAUAUUAAAUAUUUAAAAAUAAAAUAAAAUUAACAUAUUAUUUUUUUAUUUAAAAAAAAUAUAAAUAUUUUAAUUUUUUACAUUUAAUAAAAAAUUUAUAAUAAGUCAUAAAAAGAUAAAAAAAAAAAACCAAUAACCUAAAUUUUGAAAAUAAAUUAUUUUUAAUAAAAAGUUAAAAAACAAAACACACUUUUAUUUAUUUACUAAUAUAUUGUUAUCAUCUUCAUCAAUAAUCAUUAUUUAUUUUUAAACUAGCAUAUGAUUUUAUUCGUCUCCAAAAAUCGUCCAAAAAUACUCAAGGUGAUAUAUCAUAAUCACCCUAUAGUUACCAUGGGAUUACGAAAACUUUUCCAUGCUAAUAUUAUAAGUUUAUGAGAUUUGACCCAAUCUAUUAUAUUAGUUUUAAAAUCUAGCUACAUCAUGAACUUCUUCAUUAAGGAAUAAUUUAAAGAAAAAUAAUAUAAUAUUCCAAAAUAUCAAAAACAAUAUAAUAAUAAAAAUUUUAAAUAAUUAAUUAUAUAAUUAGUUUUUAUUUUAAAAUUUAUUUUUACUAUCUAAAUGUCAUAUUUUUGUGUUCAAGACAUUCAUAAAACUAAUUAUUUUAUUUAUUCUUAUUUUAAUUUACAAUUUAAUGAUUUGAAAAAAAAAUCUAAUAUAUUUUCAAAUAUUCCAAAAUAUUAGAAUUUAUUAUAUAAUAAAAAAUUUAUAAUAAUUAAUCAUAAUUUUGGUAAUGUGAUAAUAAUUAUAAUUUUUAAUUAAAGUUAAUUUCAAUCAUUUGAUUAAAUAGACACAACUUAACAUAUUUUUUAAAUUUUUAUUUAAUAUAAAGUUUAUGUGAAACGUGGAUGGCUCAUAUACCAUUCAUUUUUGUACACAUUAAUUGACCAAAAAAGCCCUCUCAAACGCGUUCAGCCCAAAGCAUCAUCCUCCCAGUGGGUCCAAUGGCUAAUAGUUAAUAUUUAUAUCAGCCAUCUAUAAAUGGAAGUCGAGCCCCAAAGCCCAACACCCAAAACAGGCAAGCCUCUUAUCAAGAGAUGGGCACAUCUCAAGUUUGUGCGUGAAUCAAACCCCAUCGUAGCCGUCCAUAUCUUCGUGUACUAAUCACGGGGCGAUUCGACGCCGUUAGAUUCACGCACAAACUCGCGAUCUGUCCUUCUGAAACAUCUAAUGAUUUCCCCUUUGCUUAUAUAUCGGGCGAAAGUUUUGUAAUCUUGUUUUUGGCGCCAGUUUGGUGAAUUCUCUGUUGGUUUCCCUCUCGAUUGUUUGAGAAAAAAGACGGGAAAUUUUGGGAAAUUAUUUUCAGAUGGCUUCUGGUUCGGAGGAGGGAUCAGGGUUUCCGGCCGACGAUUAUGAGUCGUUGAUAGCGACGACCGAUGUGGAGCUGUUGAAGAGGGCGUGGAGGAACGAGAAGGCUGCUCCCGAGACUCUCCAUUUUCAAACUAGAGAACAGAUCCAGUUGAUGGUAUGCUUAAAACUUCAAUCCUUAACCUUCUGUUUGGUUUCUGAGAAAGUAAACGGAAAUGAAAAAUACAAAAAUUAUAAAUCUUUUUUUUUGGUGAAAAUUUUGAGAUUCGACUUAAUGAAGCGAAAUUCGCUGUUAGAGUGGAUUUUUCUUUUUCUUCUUUUUUAUUUUUUUGUUUCAUACGGUCCCAAAUUCCACAUUAUCAUCGGAGACCAAACGGAACCUAGAGCAAUUACUAACUAGGUUUGUUGUGAAGCUUGGCAUAAGAUUUUCUUUUUUUUUGAUAGAAUUUGAUUUGCAUGUUCUCCACGUUUGUUUGAAAGUUAUUUAUUUAUUUUUUUCAUUAUUUCUAUUUUCCUUUGCACUCUAAAAUCGUUCAUGAACAGUUCAAUGAUCCAUUUAAUUGUGAAAUCAAUGAUUUUGCACGAAAUUUGUUUGAGCUUUUAAAAAUUUGGAGCAAUAAGGAUCGCAAAUUGACAGCAUUAGGUACCAUUUUCGGGCACCUAGUGAGGUUUUGUUCUUCAGGCAUUUGAUUAAUGGGCAUUAUAUAUCUAUUGUCCAUCCAGUCUACCUACAUCUAACAGAGCAUUGUAUUUCAUUCAUCAAAAAAUGUCGUAUUUCUAGUUUUAGGUGACUUCAACUCCCUAAAAAUAGUUUUUUCAGAUAAUGUGGUGCCUUGAACUUGAAUCAGCACUAAAAGGCUGGAGUUUUGGAUUUGAAACUCAUCCCAACAAAGCCUUCCACUAAUUAGUGUAUGAAACUUUGAAUAUUGAAAAAUUGAUAUCCCAUCUGUUUGGCCAUUUAGUUCCGGAGCCACGGUUGGACACCUUUAUCUUCUGCAAAAGCAAAGGAUCUAUCGAAGCUUUCCAGCUUGAUGACAGGUAAAUGUUUCUUUUAUCAUCAUAUAUAAGUACACUCAGUAGAUGAUUUCCCAUUUGUGCUAACCAAUUAAAUUUGCCAUAUGCAGCAAAGAAGUGGUGGACCUGGUUGCUGAUGAUUUAUACAUUCUUCGUUACAACUCAGUAAAUCCACUCAUAGAAAGUGGCCAAAUUGAUUUGGUGUAAGCCACUAAGCGUCUUUUAGCACAAAACAGAAAUUGUAGUUACAGUGUGCUAUUCAAAAUUCCAUCAUCCAUGCCUUGGGUGUUUGAUUAAACUACCGCAGAUUGUUACCAUAUUGAAGAGGACUGUGUACCUUUUUUUUUUUUUUUUAAGAGAAAAUAUAUAUAAAAUUAUCUAUAAACAUCGUGAUUCAGCUGGCUAUUUUAAAAUGGAAGUUCAAAUAAAUGCAACAGAAAUUAAACCCCGGAAGUCACGUGCAACAAAUAUAAUUUAAUAACCUAAACCAAUAUUCUUUUGAAUCACAUGUUUUAUUAUGAGAAUUUGUUCUUUUUUGCAUUUUUUAUUUUAAAAGAAAAAAGGAAAUUGACUGAGCUCUAAAGGGGAGGUUGGCAAGAAACUUGGAACGCAAUGCUUUUUUAGUUAAUGGGACAAAAAGAUGAGUUCGGCAAAUAUGCAGAAAUUUCUUCAUUUUAUUUUACUUUUACAGGUAAAAAUACGUGCAAAAUUAGUUAACAUAAUCAACGGCCAGGAUCUUGAGCAAACCAUCAUAGGAUACACCACUAUCUUCAUCACCGCCGCCCAAUUUGAUCAUGGCCUUGAUUUCUUCCUCAGUUGCAGAAAACCCGGCCCAAUUCAUAUAGCUCUUCAAAUCCUCGAGCCCUACUUUGCCGUCGCCGUCCCUGUCCAUAACCUUACACACAUCCUCCAUCACCCCAGCGACGCCGUGGCCCUUGUUCCUCGGACUUCUCCGGCAGCCCAACACGUGUUCAAACUCAUCGUACCCCACAAACCCAUCCUUAUUCGAAUCCGCCACCGACAUCAUCGACCCGAUCGCCUCCUCAUCUCCGGAGACGCCGCUUGGGAAUCCCACGUAAAAGCUGCGGAGAUCUUUGACACGAUUUUCGGCCGGGCAGCCGUUGUGAUUCUGACGAGGAAAUAUACAAAGAAUCCAGCAAGAAGAAUUCCACCAUAGAUGAACGUUUGAGAAGACUCCACUGGUAAUUUGUAUUCGAUGUCACAGCAUUUCAUUUUCUCCUUCUCACUCACCAAAACAUAAUCUACAUACCUGUUAUAUCAUAGACAGAUGAUUACUACAAGGAUCAUAAAACCCUAAUCAGAAAUUUCAAUUUCAUAAUCACCAAGAAGCUUUUUCCAUGUGCAGGGCAACUUACUGUUGGGUGUAGAUAGUGUUUUGUAAAAUUUCUGAGCAUUUCAUUUUUUUUUGUGCAGAUUUCGCUUUAAUCCAAAACCCCCUAAGAGGGUUUGAUCAGAAAAUAACAUUGGCUUUAAAGAUCAAUAGUAACCUGAAUUCCAACCCUAUCAAACAUGGAGCCCAAUGGUAUUUAUCUUAAUUUCAACAUUCUUUUAUUUCCCUUUAUAAAUUAGUAUAAAUUAACAUAUUGGUUUUAUUUUCAGAAUUAUUCAAGUAAAAUCAAGAGAGGAGUUAAGAGAUGAGAUCCACCUCGCCGCCCUUGAUAGCGUUGUGAAUCUCAACUCCUUGUGUGCUGCCUUUACAUUUGUCGGACUCUCCCUCACCACUAUGGAGUUGCAGAGCACUGAUGGUCGUCUUGGCUGCAGUCCCAAUAUAAGCACGAUCAGGAACUUGAUGUUAUUUGAGGUCAUUUCCUUUGCGUUUUUUCUCGCAUCAUCAUUGGUGGCUUAUGGCUUGAAGACAAUGAUGAGUCUCAUCAAUGCUGCGGAGUUAAAUGAAGAGUUUAGGAACCACUUCAACAGAAAAUCUAUUCAGAAGGUGAUGCUUUGUGCCAUCUUCAGCUCGAUAUUGGGAUGUCUUAUUUUAAUUCUCUCAAUAGUGUACAUCCUUCAGAUUAGGCUAGGGGUAUUGAGUUGUGAGAGUCCAUCUACAGUCCAAGGAGUGGUUGCUCUUGUUAUUAUUGUUACUUGUGGUGUUAUUUUUCAUGCUGCUAUUACUAUCUCAGCUUAUAUAUAUGACUUUUGGUUUAUAUUAGUAUGUAUGAAACAUUAUUAAUGUGUUUAAUUAGAACAUGAGCAUUGUCUUUUAAUCCCUCAACUCCUUCAAUCUCCUCACUUCCCGGACAGGAGAGCCAACUUUUCUCAAAGAGAAAGAACAAAAUUUUUUCUCCUCAAAAUUAUAUAUUUUCUGGGGGGAUACACAUUUCUCCUCCAUACUGCCAAGCGAGCUUUGAAAUUUUGACACGAUUUCCGGCCGGGCAGCCGUUGUGAUUCUGACUUAACGCACAGGAGAUGAAAAGAAAAUGACCAGGAAAUAUACAAAGAAUCCAGCAAGGAGAAUUCCACCAUAGAUGAACGUUUGAGAAGACUCCACCGGGAAUCUGUAUUCGAUGUUACAGCAUU
Molecule: long non-coding RNA, 22434 nt
Filed under: Vitis vinifera (wine grape)
Lineage: Eukaryota; Viridiplantae; Streptophyta; Magnoliopsida; Vitales; Vitaceae
Description: long non-coding RNA (VVIN_LNC001256)
Rfam family: MIR403 microRNA precursor family (bases 18616-18730)
Source: RNAcentral